AUUUUUAUGGUGUAUAAAACACCUAACAUUUUCACUGUUAAAAAGCGCUUGCUAAAAAUA
RNAcentral lists this transfer RNA (60 nucleotides) under Alectorobius peropteryx. RNAcentral's name for it is "tRNA-Glu". The record is from RNAcentral. Lineage: Eukaryota; Metazoa; Arthropoda; Arachnida; Ixodida; Argasidae.